RNAcentral lists this ribosomal RNA (253 nucleotides) under uncultured bacterium. Its description in RNAcentral is "partial 16S ribosomal RNA". It matches the Rfam family "Bacterial small subunit ribosomal RNA", at positions 524 to 776 of the family's 1533-position model. The record is from RNAcentral.
UACGGGGGGGGCAAGCGUUGUUCGGAAUUACUGGGCGUAAAGGGCUCGUAGGUGGCCAACUAAGUCAGACGUGAAAUCCCUCGGCUUAACCGGGGAACUGCGUCUGAUACUGGAUGGCUUGAGUGUGGGAGAGGGAUGCGGAAAUCCAGGUGUAGCGGUGAAAUGCGUAGAUAUCUGGAGGAACACCGGUGGCGAAGGCGGCAUCCUGGACCAUUACUGACACUGAAAAGCGAAAGCCAGGGGAGCAAACGGG